This 484-nucleotide ribosomal RNA is filed under the name uncultured bacterium. RNAcentral's name for it is "partial 16S ribosomal RNA". It matches the Rfam family "Bacterial small subunit ribosomal RNA", at positions 30 to 507 of the family's 1533-position model. The record is from RNAcentral.
AUUGAACGCUGGCGGCAGGCCUAACACAUGCAAGUCGAGCGGAUGAAGGGAGCUUGCUCCUGGAUUCAGCGGCGGACGGGUGAGUAAUGCCUAGGAAUCUGCCUGGUAGUGGGGGAUAACGUCCGGAAACGGGCGCUAAUACCGCAUACGUCCUGAGGGAGAAAGUGGGGGAUCUUCGGACCUCGCGCUAUCAGAUGAGCCUAGGUCGGAUUAGCUAGUUGGUGGGGUAAAGGCCUACCAAGGCGACGAUCCGUAACUGGUCUGAGAGGAUGAUCAGUCACACUCGAACUGAGACACGGUCCAGACUCCUACGGGAGGCAGCAGUGGGGAAUAUUGGACAAUGGGCGAAAGCCUGAUCCAGCCAUGCCGCGUGUGUGAAGAAGGUCUUCGGAUUGUAAAGCACUUUAAGUUGGGAGGAAGGGCAGUAAGUUAAUACCUUGCUGUUUUGACGUUACCAACAGAAUAAGCACCGGCUAACUUCGUG